RNAcentral lists this ribosomal RNA (531 nucleotides) under uncultured bacterium. RNAcentral's name for it is "bacterial SSU rRNA". It matches the Rfam family "Bacterial small subunit ribosomal RNA", at positions 8 to 526 of the family's 1533-position model. The record is from RNAcentral.
AGAGUUUGAUCAUGGCUCAGGACGAACGCUGGCGGCGCGCUUAACACAUGCAAGUCGAGCGAGAACCAGUCCUUCGGGACUGGGGAAAGCGGCGAACGGGUGAGUAACACGUGGAUAACCUGCCCUCGGCACCGGGAUAGCCCGGGGAAACCCGGAUUAAUACCGGAUAGCCCAGCUGGCUUUCGAGCCGGCCGGAAAAGGUAGCUUCGGCCUCUGGCCGAGGAUGGGUCCGCGGCGGAUUAGCUUGUUGGUGGGGUAAUGGCCUACCAAGGCUCCGAUCCGUAGCUGGUCUGAGAGGACGAUCAGCCACACUGGGACUGAGACACGGCCCAGACUCCUACGGGAGGCAGCAGUGGGGAAUCUUGCCCAAUGGGCGAAAGCCUGAGGCAGCGACGCCGCGUGAGGGAGGAAGGCCUUCGGGUUGUAAACCUCUUUCAGGAGGGACGAAGCUACUCGGGUGAAUAGCCCAGAGGGUGACGGUACCUCCAGAAGAAGCCCCGGCUAACUACGUGCCAGCAGCGGCGGUAAUAC